AGUAGCUUGCUCCUUUGCUGACGACCGGCGGACGGGUGAGUAAUGCUUGAGAAGAUGCCUUGAGGGGGGGGACAACAGUUGAAAACGACUGCUAAUGCCGCAUACUGUCUACGGACCAAAGGGGGGUUCCCCUCUCGCCUUUAGAUUGGCCCUAGUGGGAUUGGCUAGCUGGUGAGGGAAUGGGUCACCAAGGCAAGGAUCCCUAUCUGGUUUGAGAGGAUGAUCAUUCACACUGGGACUGAGACACGGGCCACACUCCUACCGCAGGCAGCCGUGGGGAAUAUUGCUCAAUGGAUGCAUGCCUGAUGCAGCCAUGCCGGAUGUGUGAAUAAGGCCUUCGUGUUGUAAAGCAUUUUCUUUCAGGAGGAAAGGGUAGUAGUUAAUACCUGCUGGCUGUGAGGGUCCUGACUGAUGAAGCACCCUCUACCUCCUUGCUAGCAGACGCGCCAAUACGGACGGUGCGAGCUUCAAUCGUAAUUACUGGCUAGUCAACGCAUGAUGUAAACACCAGCGCAGGACGGCCCCGGGCGUAAAAUUCAAUUUCAUUUGACAGUGAGUGGGCACUAGCGGUGGAGCAGGAGGGUUUAGUUUUAAUUUACGCGAGUAAAGCGUACGCAGGCGGUUUGUUAAGUCGAGAUGUGAAAGCCCCGGGCUCAACCUGGGAGCUGCAUUUCGAACUGUCAGACUAGAGUGUGAUAGAGGAGUAGGUAGAAUCUCACGGUGUAGCGGUGAAAUGCGUAGANAUCUGAAGGAAUACCGAUGGCGAAGGCAGUCACCUGGUGUCAACACUGACGCUCAUGUACGAAAGCGUGGGGAGCAAACAGGAUUAGAUACCCUGGUAGUCCACGCCGUAAACGAUGUCUACUAGAAGCUGGGAGUCUCGGUUCUGUUUUUCAAAGCUAACCCAUUAAGUAGACCCCCUGGGGAGUACGGCCGCAAGGUUAAAACUCAAAUGAAUUGACGGGGGCCCGCCCAAGCGGUGGAGCAUGUGGUUUAAUUCGAUGCAACGGGAAGAACCUUACCUACACUUGACAUACAGAGAACUUACCAGAGAUGGUUUGGUGCCUUCGGGAACUCUGAUACAGGUGGUGCAUGGCUGUUGUCAGCUCGUGUUGUGAGAUGUUGGGUUAAAUUCCGCAACGAGCGCCACCCCUUUCUUUAGUUGCUAGCAGGUAAUGCUGAGAACUCUAAGGAGACUGCCGGUGAUAAACCGGAGGAAGGUGGGGACGACGUCAAGUCAUCAUGGCCCUUACGUGUAGGGCUACACACGUGCUACAAUGGCGCAUACAGAGGGCUGCGAACCCGCGAGAGUAAGCGAAUCACUUAAAGUGCGUCGUAGUCCGGAUUGGAGUCUGCAACUCGACUCCAUGAAGUCGGAAUCGCUAGUAAUCGCGUAUCAGAAUGACGCGGUGAAUACGUUCCCGGGCCUUGUACACACCGCCCGUCACACCAUGGGAGUGGGUUCCUCCAGAAGUAGAUAGUUUACGGCUACCAG
RNAcentral lists this ribosomal RNA (1495 nucleotides) under Pseudoalteromonas sp. MB100. Its description in RNAcentral is "bacterial SSU rRNA". It matches the Rfam family "Bacterial small subunit ribosomal RNA", at positions 74 to 1448 of the family's 1533-position model. Lineage: Bacteria; Pseudomonadati; Pseudomonadota; Gammaproteobacteria; Alteromonadales; Pseudoalteromonadaceae. The record is from RNAcentral.